Long non-coding RNA from Onychostoma macrolepis, 1156 nucleotides. RefSeq lists it as uncharacterized. Lineage: Eukaryota; Metazoa; Chordata; Actinopteri; Cypriniformes; Cyprinidae. The record is from RefSeq and is a predicted model, not a curated record. The transcript is spliced from 4 exons.
GUUCAUUUGAUAUUUGGACCGAUUAAAAUGUUGCUGUAUUUAUGAAGACAUUGUAAAGACAUGAAACUAUAAUAGUUGAAACUACAAGAGGCGUUUGUGUGGACAGAUUUCACUCAUUUAACUUAACCACAGACACCUUUUGUCUUCUCCAGAUGUUAAUUAAUGGACAGGAGUGGUGUGGACUAUUGUGAUGUUUUUAUCAGCUGUUUGGACUCUCAUUCUGACGGCACCCAUUCACUGCAGAGCAUCCAUUGCUGAGACACUGAUGCAAUGCUACAUAUCUAAUGAAGAAACAAACUUUGGUCUACAUGAGCACAUAUGGCCUGUUCACGCUGGACUGGAGUGAGGACAGAAGCAAUAACGAGCACGGUUUAUCUCUGGAGUGAAGGAUGGACGCGCUCUGAAAAUGUGAUCUGGGAUUUCAUAUCAGAGGCAGCCGUUAUUCCGGUUGGCUCGGGCUGCGAUCGGGACAGUUGGCGUCCGCUCCGCUGAUGACAGAUUUGGCAGAGACUGAACAGGAAGCCAGCAGAGCCAUGUGUGAUUAAACAGGAAACAGAUCCAGGCGUGAGUGCAUGAGUGGAUCAGCGCUCGAGUGAUCCGACAGUCUCCGGUGCCAAAACCCCUCCGAACACCAGGAUCAAUAGUGUGAAUCAGAGCUUCAGGAACAGCUUUACAGAGCAGAGCCGUGGCCCUUAUGCAGAUCUAUGAUGACGGUUAACGCGGUAAAUCUGAGUAAACAUCUGUAAAUCCUUUGUUAUCAGAAUUCACGUGUGCAUUUAUUGUAUGCUUUGUCAGACUUUUUCAUUUUAUUUUUUAUUUUUUAUCCAAAACAACUUAUUCAGUUCAUAUAUGGUAAUCGAACCCAUGACCUUGAUGUUGAAUGUUUUUGGAUUUAUAGCUACUUUAAGUACGUUGUCACCUUUUGGGUUGAAUGAAGAAUUUGAUAGUAAGCCUUUCUUAUAAGAUUUUAUGUACUUCUUCAUCUGUUUUCAGUAUUGUUUGAAUAGUUUGAAGAGUGAUUACUGAUUUGUAUUUUCCUUGUAUUGAUUUGUAUCUCUGUUGUUUUCUCUCUCUCUCUCUCUCUUCUCUUCCUUGUCUUGUGGGAGUAAGUCUACACUUACACAGUGAUUGAACGUGCCUAAUUAGUAUGACCACC